GGCCGGUUAGCUCAGUUGGUUAGAGCGUCGUGCUGAUAACGCGAAGGUCGCGGGUUCGACCCCCGUGCUGGCCA
Molecule: non-coding RNA, 74 nt
Organism: Branchiostoma floridae (Florida lancelet)
Lineage: Eukaryota; Metazoa; Chordata; Leptocardii; Amphioxiformes; Branchiostomatidae
Source: Rfam